This 253-nucleotide ribosomal RNA is filed under the name uncultured bacterium. RNAcentral describes it as "partial 16S ribosomal RNA". It matches the Rfam family "Bacterial small subunit ribosomal RNA", at positions 524 to 776 of the family's 1533-position model. The record is from RNAcentral.
UACAGAGGUCUCAAGCGUUGUUCGGAUUCAUUGGGCGUAAAGGGUGCGUAGGUGGCGCCGUAAGUGGGGUGUGAAAUUUCGGAGCUUAACUCCGAAACUGCAUUCCAUACUGCGGUGCUUGAGGACUGGAGAGGAGACUGGAAUUCAUGGUGUAGCAGUGAAAUGCGUAGAUAUCUGGAGGAACACCGGUGGCGAAGGCGGCAUCCUGGACCAACACUGACGCUGAGGAGCGAAAGCCAGGGGAGCAAACGGG